Macrobrachium nipponense is the source of this 4720-nucleotide RNA transcript. It is a transcript of the gene named ataxin-2 homolog, with no coding region annotated. NCBI's taxonomy places the organism in Eukaryota, Metazoa, Arthropoda, Malacostraca, Decapoda, Palaemonidae. The record is from RefSeq and is a predicted model, not a curated record. The transcript is spliced from 13 exons.
CAUUGUUGGAACGUAUUUUCCUACAUGUUAGUUAGGUGCCAUUGGACUCUCAGAGGAUCUUGGAAAGGAAAACUCAAAAUACCUUGUGUUUUGUCGAUAUGUCUCGUUCCUAGGUAAGAGAAUUACCAUAUGCAACGGGGGGACACCUGGACAUUCGCAUCAGGACCCUGAUUUGUUGUUAUUUUGCGACGUGUGUGAAGAAGGACCAUCAAAAUUCCGGUCCCGAGCGAAUUUCGGCAGGCCCGUGCAGGGAGAGCCGAAGAAGAAGAAGACGACACCAUGAACAACGCUGCUAGGCCACGCAAAAACAGAACUAGUUCGGCCAGAGGUGGCCGUGGAAAAGGUGUAGACAGGCAAAUACCUACUGAUGGCGUUUACACGAACCACCGUUUCAUGCAGUCGGUUGGCGCUUUAGUAGGCCUCCCAGUUUUGAUUCAAACAAAAACCAAUGACACUAUUGAAGGUGUGUUUACAACAUUUAGUCCCAAUUUUGACCUGGUGUUAGACAUGGCACACCCAGUCACCAGGUCUGAUUCCACCAUCAACCCUGAGACCAUCAAACGGAAGAUGAUUUUCUCUUCUAGUGAUAUUGUAACUAUAAAAGUCAACAAUGUGGAUCUAGAUUAUGCUACCAAAGACGGGUUCGCAGUAGAUCAGGUUAUUAGUCGUUUUAACGGUCAAGUAACUGAACGACCAUUAGAGCCUUGGCAAGGGGAUGCCAAUGCUGAGGACAAUAUAGCCCUUGGAGAGGAAAGCUCGGUGAGUGGGAAUGGGUGGGAUGUCGAUGAUAUGUUUCGUAAAAAUGAAGAAAAAUACGGUGUGACAACUUCUUACACGCCUGAAAUGGAAGGAUACACUACCCCUUUGAAUAGGCGUAAUACUCGUGAAUAUAGAGAAAGAGAAGCUAAGGCACAAAGAAUUGCAGCAGAGAUCAUGAGCUCUCCAGCCACACAGGUGCGAUCAGAAGCAGAGAAUGGAGACGAGGAAGAUAGGUAUUCAGCUGUUUUAAGGCCUGCUGAUCAGGCAGCAAGUGGUGGAGGUGGUGGUGGAGGCGGUGGUGGUGGCGGGGGAGGAGGAGGAGGAGGAGGAGGAGGUAGUGCUUCCAAGUAUGUUCCCCCAAUGCUGAGAAAGAAGAAUCAGAACACUGGGAAAUUGAUGCGUUUAACUUCUCCUCCUGGUCCGGGUAGCCGUUACAGUGGCUCUAAUCCGACGACACCAACCUCGCCUUCAUGCACUGGACCACCACCAGUGUCCUCAGGUAGUCACAGUCCCAUUGGGGGUCCCAAUGGCCCAGGGGGAGCCUCUCCUGGAUAUCCCCCUCAACAGGGGCCGCCACCAACCCACAGCCCCUCACCAGCUGCUAAUCCACCACUCCACCGUCAUAAUUCCCAUUCACACCCUAAUGACUCGAAGGUUAAUGGAGAUGCCAAAGGGUCUUAUGAUCGGCGAAAUCAUCACGAUAAUUCACUAAAUGACCCUGCUAGAGAAAAUCACCACAAUGACACUUGUAGCAAGCCGGACCACCAUAGCCGUCAGCACCACAAUGAAGGCCCGCCUCAGAAAGGCCAGCAGAAACCCCCUCCAGCUCAGCACCAGCAGCACCAAGGUCACAUGCCUCCCAUGGGCCAGGGGGAUCAUCGCAAGCAAGAACCCCGGGAGCAGCGGGAGCCGAGGAAGCAGCGUACGAACAAAGAGGAGCAGAUUGCGGAUCUGAAGAAGUUCAGCCAAGAUUUCAAGCUUUCAGAGCAGGCUGAGAAAAAAGCACAAAGCCAACAACACCAUCCAGCGGCUCCACAACAGCAGCUGCAGCAGCAAUCGGAACCACAGCAGCCACCUCCGCAAGUAUCGCAACAGCAACCACAACCUCCACAGCAGCAGCAGCAGCAGCAGCAACCCCCACAGCAACAACAACAGCAACAGCAGCAGCAGCAGCCAUCCCCACCCCAGCAUGUCCAGCAACCACCCCCUCAACCCCGACAGCAAGCACCUGUGCAGCCACAGCCACAGUCUCUCCCCCAGCCACAGCAGCAACCACCACCACCUUCACAACCACCACAACAGCAGGCACCUCCCCAACAACCACCUCCGCCUCAGCAGCCUCUACCUCCCCAGCCCCAGCAACAGCAACCAUCUCCUCAGCAACCACAGCAGCAACCACACAUGGCCCCACAACCUCCACAGCAAAGACAAACCCCUCCAGUUUCUACACCUGUGCCUCAGGGUCCUCCGCAGAGUGUUGCUCCAACUUCGCAUCACCCUCAGAACACUCCUGCCAUGACUAUGAGCCCUGUGCCAGAAGUGAGCAAAGCACAUGAGGAACCCGACAAGAUGUCUACUGUUACCAAUUCGAAGUUGAAUCCCAAUGCCAAGGAAUUUAUUUUUAAUCCCAAUGCCAAACCAUUUAGUCCCAGAUCACCAAGCACAACAACACCACCAAGGCCUCACACACCGCAAACACCCCAAAUUCCUACAAACCAACCCCCGCAGAUGCCUGGCGGAGCUCCUUCUGUUGGUUUCCAGCAAGCCGCUAUGGUGUCUGCUUAUGUGAUGGCCUCCCAGCCUUACCCAACGCAGCAUCAGCCUCCAAGAUUUACUAAGAGACUUCCACUAGGUAGCAAUCAGCGUCCAGAGUUCACUUCACAGAUGCAAGUUGCUGCUGCAACAGGUCAGCCUAUACUGGCCCCACCACCCAUGAACACUCAACCUCAGGCACUUACGACAGUGCAGAUUCCACAAAACAUGUUGGCUCAAGCACCUCAGCCUUAUCAGCAAUACCCAGGUAUGCCCAUGAUGUUAAGAUUCCCGCAUGCUGGCAUGCAGAUGGUGACAGCAGUGGUGCCAACAUCUAUGGGCAUUCUAAGCCAAGCAACUGACUCUCAGCAGCAGUCUCAGCAACACAGUCACCAAACAAUGUAUAUGGCCCCGAGCAGUAUACCACCACACCAGCCACAUCCAGCUCAUACUCCAGGCCCUGGUCCACAGCCCACACAGCCACCUACCCCGCAGAAUCCAGGAGGGGGUGGAGGACCUCCAACUAUGCCAACGCAGCCUCCAACUCCAGGACCCACUCCACCACAGCCACUGUUAUAUUCUCAAAUAGGCCAUCCAUCUUUGCCUCAGCAUAUACCACAACAUUGCCCUCAUACAGCCCAGUCUCCCCAUGCGCAUCAAUAUCCAGGUCAGAAUGCAGCUGUGGCAGCAGCAGCAGCUGCUGCUGCUGCCGGAGGACAUCAUGGGGCACCAGGCCAACAGAUGGCUGCUCAAAUUGUGAUGCUUCCUCCUAACAUUGCCGCUGCAGGGCCUCAGAUGAUGCAUCCCUCAGGGCCACCCCCACAUUCAGCUACAGCACACAUUCCCUCCUCCAUGGCGGGGAGUUUCACACCUACGUCGUCAACGGGUGUACAGCACAUGGCCUCGGCGCCUCAUAUACAAUAUCUACAAGCUGGCUAUCCAACUUCUUAUGAGAGACCUAAAAUGAGAAAAUUAAAGUACCCACAUUAUUAUGCCUCGUUGACCACACUACGUUAAUAUUCCUAUCCGAUUUAAGCAGCUACUAUCAUAUGGUUUCCUGUGGCUGCUCUUUAAAAGGGAAGAUUCAUAUGAAAAAAUUAUGGCAGGGAAAUGGCUGUUAUUUUAUAUGGCUCCAGGGCAUUUUUAUUGAAAUAAAAGAGUGACAUCAAGCAACAAUGACAGGCCCCUCAUACUUUUGGGACAUGGCCCACAAAUCGGCGGACACCGCUGUAGGAUCUGUAGUUGAUGUUCAGUAUAUGUAGCUGCCUGGGCUCCAUCAGACCGAAAAGCAUCUUGCCCAAGAUUAUCUGCAAGGCCAGCAAUUAGAGGAGAGAUAAGUAGUGAAGACACUAAAAGAAAAAAAGAAUGCAUGCAGGGUUUCUUUUCUCACAAAGUUUGAUAAUCCAAUGGAAAAAUGCCUAUAGAAAACUUAGAUGGCCUGGAUGUGCCACUAAAAUCUGACCACAGGUCUUGUAAUGUGAUCCAGGCUUAUGCAUUAACUUCAGUGGAAAGUUUCACUACUACUUCAACUUAAAAAGCUCCAUCAGUCCUUGCAACAGAAGGGCAUUUCCAGUUUAUCUCCAGACCUAGUAGACAAAGCAAGCCAUGUGAAAGGUACACCUUCAUCCACCUACUCUACAAACGAUUCAAGAUGGGUACACACUUAUCAGACUGAAGGAUUUAACCAUGGAAAGUUCCCAAGAUGGAAAGAAGCUAAAAUCUGAUUGUGUGUUCAUUUAGUCAUUUCAGAGUUUUCCUUCUGGUGUCUUACUUUCGUGAAGCGUCUUGAGAUGAAGGACUACUCAAAACGAGCAACCUUCCUAGACUUAAUUUACAGUCUGUUACCUGAGCGACAAGUCUUUUUAGGGUCUUGACUGUUAUAUUUAAUUAGAGGUGCCUUAAAGCAAUAAUGAAAUGGCCCUUAUAAAAAAUUUAAGCUGUUUUCCAAUGUGGUCUUCCAGUGCUGACUCCUCUCACCUCAAUCUUGGUUAGUUUGUCAUCAAUAAAGUUUACUUUGCCAACUCUUGGACGUUGACAUGCAAUGAGACAUCCUUUGCCUGAUCUACAUGAUUUAGUUCACAAUAAGUAUUGUAGGCUGCUGCCACAAACUGUUACUUUCUGGCAUCAGGUUUAAUACUACCAAAUUUGCUAAGGCCAAAUAUUUAUGUGAGAAGCAAUUACAAUUCUGCUUUCUGCUAUCUGAAUUUCA